UAAAGAAAAAAGGAAACACAACCACACACAGAGCACACGGGCUCGCCUCCUCUCCCUCUCGCCUAUGAAGUCAUCGCCGCCGCCGCCGCCCAUGCCGGCUGCUUCCGGCGCCUCCGGCGCAGCGCGGCACGCCCCAAGCUGCCGACGGUCCGCGCCUCCCUCCCCUCCACCCAGACUCUCUGCUCCCGGCCUCUACAGCCCGCUCGCAACCACACACCCAUGGCUAGGGUUUCGGGCAUGGCUUCGCCGGCGUGUCUCCGGUGGUCCCAGUUGGGGCACGCCAUGGGAGUUCCCCAUCCAUCACGGUCGCCGUUGUCAAGGGAUUCUUCAAGGAGAUGUCAAGGACGCCAUGGACAUGCAGCUCCUCAAGAUCAAUUAAGGAAUCAAUCUCAUGAUGGUUGAUGCUUGAUGCAGCGCAGGAUUGGGCCUCGCAUUAUUUUUUCCAGAAUUGGGUGUGGGUACUCUCUAAACUGGAUUGAGUGAGCUAAAUCUGUGCAUCAAAAUUGUAGUCUGUAGCUUUAUGUGUUACGUCUUAAGAUUGAACUUGAAGAUUGCUUUUGGGAGUAGUUUUAGUUGGUAGAUGUUUCAGGCUCCAAAUACGCACACAUUAUGUGCUUAAUGUGUGGCAUAAACAUGAUCAGUUUUAUGCUUAGAAACCAAACCACUGUCCACCCAUUUUAUUUCUUCAUGAGUAUUUUGUGUUGAAAUCAGAUCACCGUUCACCUGUUCUCGUACUGUUGUCUUUAACUUAUUUUGCCGAUUCUCAAUAAAAUGCUCAGUUCAGGAUGUGAUUUUCAGUUUUAGGCAUUUGAUACUUUUGGCACUGAGCAAAAAAAAUUCCUCUGAGCGUGUACCUUCAAAUGCAAAGUUCUGACUAUGAUUUCGCAUGCGAUCACACCGCCGUCGGUCGCUCUUCCUACCGAGUGCCA
Triticum dicoccoides is the source of this 929-nucleotide long non-coding RNA. RefSeq lists it as uncharacterized. The transcript has 3 exons. The record is from RefSeq and is a predicted model, not a curated record. Lineage: Eukaryota; Viridiplantae; Streptophyta; Magnoliopsida; Poales; Poaceae.